CUCCCUUCCGGUUGAGCGCACGCUGGCGCAUCUGGAUGCCGCUGCUCUCCCUUCUCUCUUCUUGUAUCGGUCCUUUGCUUUAUUAGUCUUCAUUACGUCUACUAAGUGUUUUAAGUUUCCGUUUUAUGUACUUUGUCGCAUCACUCGUGUCUUCUUCAUAUUUUUAUUUAUUGCAGGAACACUACCAAGUUUCCAAAUCGCGUUUGAUCAGUUUUGACAAAGCCCUCCUACCCCCCACUUGCUGCCUGCUCUGCACCCCGACUGCAGCACCUCUGGCCGCCGCCAGCCCCCUGCUGUCCUCCCCGGAUUCGAGACCUACCCGCCUUCUCCGCCGACACAUGACUGUUUCUGAUCACCGGCCUUUCCCGGCCUAGCGUACCCGCAACACUGCACUCCUGUAUCAUCACUUCGUAAAUCACUUCGUAUUGCUGCCUAAGCGUUGCUCCGGUCCUUUCUGGUCCUUCUUGUUACGAUGCUGCUGCUUCUGCACCCAGAUGGCGGCUACUGCCUCGGAUUCCCUGUCUUGCGUCUCUACCUGCUUGCCUGUGCUCCUGUCCAUCUGCCCGCAGCUGGCCCUCUACCGGCACCCCUCCAACCAACUCCAUCGGGCCUGCUUGGAAUAACUCGGUCUCAUCUGUGCAAGGACAAGCGCUGACUAGUAGGCUACUUCAGGAGGACAUGUUUUGGACACAACACAAAGAAUCCAUCGCCUUCCAGCCUUGACCCACCAGAAGUAUGGCCUAACUGACCCAGCACCUUCGUGGAUCCUGCUUUCCUGCAGGCAAGUGAACGUCCAACAACCUUUCCAGAGUACGUCUAUGGUGCAGUUCUGUACACGGUAGAGAUGCUAUGUCAAAUGCCUUGAAAGCUACUUUAUUACUCAAAGGAAACCAAAUUUUGGAUAUUCUGUGUGCAUUUAGAAUAUCCAUAACUGAUUAUUCUGAGUGACGGCUUGACAAUCCCAAUUUAUGCUGGCUUGCUGGGAUAUAUUAAGCUUGUUAACACUUGACACAAAAAAGUUCAGAUGUACAUCUUCUGAACACCAGUGAGAGUAAAUAAUACUGUAAAAUGGCAUGUUAACAAUCUUGUGUUGAGAGAUUUGACAGCAAAGAAAUGUAUAAAAGAGCAAUAAAGUAAACGUUACACGCAUCGGAAGACUUAGUUCAGAUAACAUUGCUAUAGCUUUGGUAAUUUAUAGCCAGAUUGAUAUUGCAUGGAUAAAAAAUUCUACUCUUUUUUAUUAUUUGAAAGGUUAAGUGCUGGUAUCUUUGAAUCUUGGGAUCUUUGUCCAAAUCUUUUGAUAUGUUGUGUGCCAGUAGAAUAUUGCUUUACUCUGUCAUCAGUCUUGACAUUGUUUGAGCAUCCAUGUUUCACUUCCUUCACGCUUACCUGUAACAGUCAUCUUGUGCACUGAUAAUUACUGCCAUCCAUAAUUUUAUAUUCUAUGCUUAUUGAUAAAUGGUUGCUGAACUCCAAGUACCUGCAGGGACACCUGGAGGGUAAGUCCUCAAAGUUGACAGUCCAGAUGAUCAUGUGCUUAAUUAUUUUUUUGGGCCACACACAGAGGAAACCCGAGGGAGACAAAAAAGAUUUUAUGACUAGCAUUACCAUAAUCAGCCAGUGCCAUAAUACAGUUUCUGAAAAAAAUCUCCUUAGUUUACAUUUUAUUAUUUCUGAAUGCAUGUCCAGGAUUUUCUUUUAUUGGCUGAUUGCUUCUGUUCCCACUCAACUACUCAUCAAAUGACAUUAAGCCAAAUGAGUUGUUGCCAUUUCUCAACUGGCAAGUUUCUUUUUUUGUAAUGUUUACUGCCUGAAGUGUAUUGAUAUCUAGGAUGGUUGUUUGGCACAGUUAUAUUAAAAUGAUGAAAAUAUUUUUUACCCAUGGUGCAUUGUGAAUGUCAGCACCACAGACCUCAAGUGUUGGCCAGGCCUUUGUUGUGCAUUGAGGACCUCACAGAUCUCAUGCUCACAUGCCAACUCAAACAAAUCUCACUCCUUUGUGUUAAAACAACUGUACUGGAUUUUCAGAGGCUUGGGCAGUGAAUUUAGUAUAUAAAAAAAAAAAAGGAAAAUUGUGGCAAAAACACCCCCCACAUCCCCUCUGGACCCACUGGCCCCUCAUCAACAGUCCCUCUACCCCACGCGUUUUGGAUUUUGGAAACUUGUGGUCCGUGCAUCACAGAUGGGAGCGCUGUUUCACCAAAAAUCUGUUUUGUGACACUGCGCGCUUCCUCAUGGCAGGCCUCCACCACCCACAGCAGUUGCCAGCUGUUUGAGUGUCUUGGUCGAUAUUUCCAUUGAGCAUUGUUAAAACUGCUGUAUUUAGCCAAUGUACUGCAGCAUCAUGACAAAUGUGUGUUGUGAAUGUUGUCUCAACAUACAGCACAGAGACAUGGGUGGGUUGAAAAAAAAGGUUUUUUAUGGAAGUACAACAUGGGGUAAAAUAUGUAAUAUCUUAAGAAAUUGUAUUAUGGAUGUUGCCCAAGCUGGAUGUUUUUCUUCUGAAAUGUACAGUGGCUAUCUGAGACCUUUGAAACAUUUAAAAUACAAAUUUUCACUUUUGCAUUAUAAGGAUCAGCCUUACCAUGUGGCUCCAACAUCACCACAGGCAAAUCGUGAAAAAAAAGAAAUUUUUUUUUUUCUUUUGCUAUGAAUGCUUCUAUGUGCAUUAGUAUAUUUAUGCACUGUACAUACUGUAUGUUGGACAUCAUCAUUAAGACGCUAUCAUAGUUAUUUUAAUAUGGUUAUUUUAAAAAUAUGGUUAUUUUAAUAUGGAGUCUUUUAUGUACCCUUAUGUUAGAUGCAUGGAUAGGUAGAAAUUAAGUUCCUCUCUGAAAAGAGAUUACAAAUAUGCAGGUCCUGGUACUAACAGUAAUGCACUAUGAAAUUUCAUCUAAACAGCUCCCCUUUGCCCAGGAAGGUUUUCCCUUUGAAUUUGUUUCAGCUGAGUAAAAUGAAAAUGGUUUCACUGGCACCUACAUAAUAGAUCUUGCAAGCAAAAAAUGAAAAUAUUUGACAAAAACUGAUGAUACAUUUUUUUAAAUCAUGUUGCAGGACUUGAAUAACUUA
This is a long non-coding RNA of Anguilla rostrata (American eel), 3069 nucleotides long. RefSeq lists it as uncharacterized. The transcript has 3 exons. NCBI's taxonomy places the organism in Eukaryota, Metazoa, Chordata, Actinopteri, Anguilliformes, Anguillidae. The record is from RefSeq and is a predicted model, not a curated record.